This 253-nucleotide ribosomal RNA is filed under the name uncultured bacterium. RNAcentral describes it as "partial 16S ribosomal RNA". It matches the Rfam family "Bacterial small subunit ribosomal RNA", at positions 524 to 776 of the family's 1533-position model. The record is from RNAcentral.
UACGUAGGGUGCAAGCGUUGUCCGGAAUUAUUGGGCGUAAAGAGCUCGUAGGCGGUUCGUCGCGUCGGCUGUGAAAUCCCGAGGCUCAACCUCGGGUCUGCAGUCGAUACGGGCGGACUGGAGUUCGGCAGGGGAGACUGGAAUUCCUGGUGUAGCGGUGGAAUGCGCAGAUAUCAGGAGGAACACCGGUGGCGAAGGCGGGUCUCUGGGCAGUAACUGACGCUGAGGAGCGAAAGCGUGGGGAGCGAACAGG